Molecule: long non-coding RNA, 205 nt
Filed under: Amborella trichopoda
Lineage: Eukaryota; Viridiplantae; Streptophyta; Magnoliopsida; Amborellales; Amborellaceae
Description: long non-coding RNA (ATRI_LNC001538)
Source: RNAcentral
AGUGAAGUCCAUAGUCUCCUGAUCAUUAUCAUUAGACGAGGACGAGAAAGACGAGCUAAGGUCCACUAGUUGAGGUUCAUGAAACAGAUAACCUUCUUUAGGGACACCCCUCGCCUCCAAUCUAGCCGAAGACCGGAAUCCUUGACAGAAAGUCUUCUUGCCCUUCGCCUUUGGUGAUGCUUUCCCAAUCGGAGUGCAAUCCACA